AUUGAACGCUGGCGGCAUGCUUUACACAUGCAAGUCGAGCGGCAGCGCGGGGGCAACCCUGGCGGCGAGCGGCGAACGGGUGAGUAAUGCAUCGGAACGUAUCCUGGAGUGGGGGAUAACCCAGCGAAAGUUGGGCUAAUACCGCAUGAGCUCUGAGGAGGAAAGCGGGGGACCGUAAGGCCUCGCGCUGCAGGAGCGGCCGAUGUCCGAUUAGCUAGUUGGUGGGGUAAAGGCCUACCAAGGCGACGAUCGGUAGCUGGUCUGAGAGGAUGAUCAGCCACACUGGGACUGAGACACGGCCCAGACUCCUACGGGAGGCAGCAGUGGGGAAUUUUGGACAAUGGGGGCAACCCUGAUCCAGCCAUGCCGCGUGAGUGAAGAAGGCCUUCGGGUUGUAAAGCUCUUUCGGACGGAACGAAAUGGUUACGGCCAAUACCCGUGACUGAUGACGGUACCGUAAGAAGAAGCACCGGCUAACUACGUGCCAGCAGCCGCAGUAAUAC
RNAcentral lists this ribosomal RNA (503 nucleotides) under uncultured bacterium. RNAcentral's name for it is "bacterial SSU rRNA". It matches the Rfam family "Bacterial small subunit ribosomal RNA", at positions 29 to 526 of the family's 1533-position model. The record is from RNAcentral.